CUGAACUAAAACCCUAUCCCAUUUUCAUUUUUUAUUUUGAGACAGUGUCUCCCCACGUGGCUGAGUCUCCACCUGCAGGGCAGAAGCACCGUGCCCAGCACAGUUCAGCUCUACAGAAAAAUACAAGUAUUAAAAUGUCAUAAAGCAGGUGACCUAGGUAUUGUCACUGUCACGAGGCCAGCUGGACCAGGCAAGGCACAGCCACAGUGAGCUCAAAGGGGCUGGGUGAGAUCCCCACGGUGAGGUCCCUGCAGGUCCUGGGCAGCUGCCCCUGCAGAAUGAAGGCCAGCAUCGGCAGACCAGGUGAAACAGAGUCACAGUCUUCAGGGCUCCCUGCUGGAAAAAACCACUGUCCAAAACGAAUCCCACAAGCAAGAAAAUAAGUGCCGUCUGCUAUUUUCAAGACCUAAAGAUAUAGCAGUAUAGUCAAGGAAAAGGAAAAAUGGAAAAGAAAAAGCUUUUUAUUUCUACAGAGGCAUUUGUGAGGGAGGGCUGGUAAGAAGGAAGACAAUAACCAUAAGUUAACCAUUAGGCCCCGGUGCCUGGGCCAGACAGCAAAAGAAAACCCAAGUGAGUAUAUGCUAACCGAACACCCAGCUGUCUAACCAGCUGAGGUACACCGAGCCUAAAUUCUCCCCACCCCACCCCGAGGGAGUUAGGGUCCCCACCUUCCUGGAUCCCCUCCCUUCCUGCCGC
Molecule: long non-coding RNA, 696 nt
Filed under: Fukomys damarensis (Damara mole-rat)
Lineage: Eukaryota; Metazoa; Chordata; Mammalia; Rodentia; Bathyergidae
Description: lncRNA (ENSFDAG00000025268.1)
Source: RNAcentral